RNAcentral lists this ribosomal RNA (403 nucleotides) under Verrucomicrobiota bacterium. RNAcentral describes it as "Verrucomicrobia bacterium partial 16S ribosomal RNA". It matches the Rfam family "Bacterial small subunit ribosomal RNA", at positions 355 to 776 of the family's 1533-position model. Lineage: Bacteria; Pseudomonadati; Verrucomicrobiota. The record is from RNAcentral.
UGGGGAAUAUUGCACAAUGGGCGCAAGCCUGAUGCAGCAACGCCGCGUGAACGAUGAAGGUCUUCGGAUCGUAAAGUUCUGUUGCAGGGGAAGAUAAUGACGGUACCCUGUGAGGAAGCCCCGGCUAACUACGUGCCAGCAGCCGCGGUAAUACGUAGGGGGCUAGCGUUAUCCGGAUUUACUGGGCGUAAAGGGUGCGUAGGUGGUCUUUCAAGUCGGUGGUUAAAGGCUACGGCUCAACCGUAGUUAGCCUCCGAAACUGGAAGACUUGAGUGCAGGAGAGGAAAGUGGAAUUCCCAGUGUAGCGGUGAAAUGCGUAGAUAUUGGGAGGAACACCAGUAGCGAAGGCGGCUUUCUGGACUGCAACUGACACUGAGGCGCGAAAGCGUGGGGAGCAAACAGG